GACGAACGCUGGCGGCGUGCUUAACACAUGCCAGUCGAACGGAAAGGCCCUGCUUUUGUGGGGUGCUCGAGUGGCGAACGGGUGAGUAACACGUGAGUAACCUGCCCUUGACUUUGGGAUAACUUCAGGAAACUGGGGCUAAUACCGGAUAGGAGCUCCUGCUGCAUGGUGGGGGUUGGAAAGUUUCGGCGGUUGGGGAUGGACUCGCGGCUUAUCAACUUGUUGGUGGGGUAGUGGCUUACCAAGGCUUUGACGGGUAGCCGGCCUGAGAGGGUGACCGGCCACAUUGGGACUGAGAUACGGCCCAGACUCCUACGGGAGGCAGCAGUGGGGAAUAUUGCACAAUGGGCGGAAGCCUGAUGCAGCAACGCCGCGUGCGGGAUGACGGCCUUCGGGCUGUAAACCGCUUUCGCCUGUGACGAAGCGUGAGUGACGGUAAUGGGUAAAGAAGCACCGGCUAACUACGUG
This 468-nucleotide ribosomal RNA is filed under the name uncultured bacterium. Its description in RNAcentral is "partial 16S ribosomal RNA". It matches the Rfam family "Bacterial small subunit ribosomal RNA", at positions 28 to 507 of the family's 1533-position model. The record is from RNAcentral.